GCAAUUGUUUGCGAUUUUUUUUCAUCUUAUUUGGUUGCCGUUCGCCGAAGUUUUGCGGCAUAUGCCGGACAUGUCGAACAAGUGCUGUGUACCGGCAUGUUCAAGUAACUCCAGAACAGGGGAAAAGGCCCAAGUGUUUUCUUUCCCGUAGGACGAAGCGCUGCACAUGCACGAAGUGUGGCUGAGGGCGAUUCCGCGGAAGGAUUUUGAUGCUACAGAAAACAAUGUAUGCGCAUUGCACUUCGAGUGAUCAUGCAUUCAACGAGAGGCUUCGUACACGGAUCGUAGGGCAGGGCGAGUGCUUGAAGUUUCCUUGAAAUUACCACGUCUUCGCCAAGGAUCAGUGCCUACCCUUUUUCCGGGAUGCCCGUCGUACUUGUCGAAACAAGACGGCUGCCCUUCCAGGCUAUCACCAGAGAGCAAGCGGAUCCGCCGGGAAGCAUCCGAUCUCUCAGAAUCCGCAGCAUGCUACCAGAGGGAAGAAAUUCAGCGUACUUUUUCCUCCCUAAUUCUUGAAUUGAGAGAAAGGUUGAAGACAGUGCGCAUGCCUGAUGUGGGGACGGUUAUUCAUCGCCCCAACUGCACACUGUUUUUAAACAGUGUGAACGAGAGCGCACCUGUUUUGUGCUCAUCUAUGACCGUCUCCGUGGAUAUGCAGAUAAUUGCGUGCUUCCGCAGCAAAAGCCUAAAGAGUUUUGGAAAUUACGUGUUUCCAAAUGAGAUCAAGGAUGUCAAUGUUCUCCUCGAGCUGCUGAAUCGGAUGCAGCACAUUGAGAGCGCGAAGUGUCCCCUCUGAUGGAAUUCUAUAUAUUGUUUCUGCCCUUCUGCAAAAGAUAGGCGAACACAUUACAGAGAGCAAAAAAGAUGUGGUUAAAUUUUUCAAAGAAUAGGUUACACUGCUUGUAAAGGAACACGCGUAGUAUUCAUCAGAGGUUGUGGUACUCGCUUGCAUAUUGCACACCAUAUAAUUCUCAACAAUUAUUUGCAAGAACAGAAAUGACGCUGCUGCUGCAAAAGCUGAUGCAAAUGCGCGUAAGUUAAUGACGGUUGCGAAGAAGUGAAAAUGAUAAACGGUUGUUCUUGGCUGUUCUUUCUUGUGCUUUGAUCAUAAGUGUGGAAAAUAAAAGUUUGUCCCUGUUUGUGAAUUUUCCCUA
This is a long non-coding RNA of Dermacentor andersoni, 1154 nucleotides long. RefSeq lists it as uncharacterized. The record is from RefSeq and is a predicted model, not a curated record. Lineage: Eukaryota; Metazoa; Arthropoda; Arachnida; Ixodida; Ixodidae.